This is a non-coding RNA of Pelodiscus sinensis (Chinese soft-shelled turtle), 2498 nucleotides long. NCBI's taxonomy places the organism in Eukaryota, Metazoa, Chordata, Testudines, Trionychidae. The record is from RefSeq and is a predicted model, not a curated record.
GCUUAGCCAUCCAUAAAAGUGUUUUUCCUUGUGCUCCUCCUUGCGAUCACAAUACUGGCGUCAGUUUGUCUCCUGUAUCUGUUCUCCCCCUCCCUCCCUCUUGCAAAUCUCUGGCACAGGGGGCUAGCAGCAGCAGCAGUCAGCAAAAGGGGCGAGGGGGUGGGGGGGGAGAUACACAAGCAUAUUGUAGCCCAAGGAAACAAUCCGCGUCGCAGCUGAGAAACACUUGAGCAGCAGACACUGAACUUGGGUUUGCACGCCUGGAAGAAGCAGUGGCCUUUCCCUGGAGACACUUGUUCACACUCAAGGAUGUCACACUGCCAGACACCAGAACUGGACACAGUAUACCAGUGAUGGCCACACCAGUGCCAAAUACAGAGAGUCACUGAUUUCCAGGAUUCAGCCCCCCAGCCUGUGAGUACGGUGUAUGUUGUUUCUUCCUAUAGGUGAGCUGUUACCACCACAAGAAUCUUGGGGAAGGCAUGGUUGGCGCGUGAGGCAGACACCAUGUGUGUGCAGCCUGUGCAGAUACUGCUGUAAAAAUCUUUGAGUGAAGGUGCAGGGAUGCACCGACACCCAAAGUGGAGCAUCCACAGUGACAUCUCUUGAAGAAGAAUACAGAGCAUCGGCUGACAGGUGGGAGCAGCCCCAGCUGCAAGUAGGGAUGAAGCAGGACUCCUCACAGUGCCUUGCCUGGGGGGGCCAUGUCAGGAGGCACAAUAUAUGGAGGGGAGGGUGACCAGUCUCCAGGACCCAUUCAUUGGAAGUUAUCCAGUUUCCAGUCUCUCAAAUGCAGAUGGUUCCCAAACUGGAACAGGUGGCUGAAGGUGGGCGAUAAUGUGGUUCUGCGCAACUUUUGACCGUGGCAUCAAACCUGCUGAUACUAGAUUGAUGAAGAAAGUGUGGUAGAGGAGGAAGGGGCAGAGACACUCUUCUGGAACAUUUGUCUCUUUCCAAAAAGCUCUGAAGACUUCUGUUGGCCUUAGUAGUAGAAGGAAGUCUGCCUCUGUGUAAGGUAGCUCUGAGAUCUAUACUGCUUUCUUGUUAGGACUAGUGUGUCUAAUCCCUGGAACAGCAGUAACAAAUCACUGGGACCAGAUGGCAUUCACCCAGGAGUUCUGAAAGAACUCCGAUGUAAAACUGCAGAACUAUUAACUGUGAAAUUGCAGAUAGAAAAUUUAGGAAGCUAAUGCUCUCUUGAAGUGAGACUGAAAGGUUGAUUAAUGGCUCAUGUGUUAGACCUUCUUUGAGACUCACAUCAGUGGGUUUUUGGGUGGGCAGUAUGUAACAUAAGCAAGGGAAGGCAUUGCCUUUCCCAAACUUCCUAGCCUUUGCCCUCCUCUCUGGCUGUCCGGGAAGGAUCAGGCUGUGACGUGGCUGCCCAGGUCUCCAGUUGCAAGUUGCUCAGGCUGGCUGGGAAGGAUGGGGCCAAUGGAAUGGGAGAGACUAGGAAGCCUAGGGAUGUUCAGGGGCUGAAGGCAGCAACCUUGGUUCUAUUGUGAUGGGGUGGGGAGCCUUAGAUGGGGAGGGACUGGGGCUUGCUUUCCCCAUUUGGGCCUUUACCCACUACCCAUGGUGUGCAGAGAUAUCUGCUCUCUUCUCCUCAGCUGUUACUUUGUUUGGUUUGCGGGUGUUAGGGCAGGCAAAGCUGAUAAACUCAGCAUAGUUUCCCUGAUAAUUAUUCUUUUGUAGUAUCUUUCAUUCCAGGGUCACCAAACACCACAUCAGUGAGGUAACCAAAUAUUUUCAAGAUGAGGAAACUAGGGAAAAGCACUCUACAUGGGAAUUUUCAAAAAUGCCCCACCAUUGUUCACAUCAGUUCAGCCUUACCAGUGCUAGCGAGGAUAAUCAUAAAGAACUGCCAGUUAUCCCUCUUUUUUUAAGGAAUUUCUCAUCUUAUCUUGCUCAGGUACAAUUUAGGAAAAUAAUCUUUGUUGUUUCUUUAAAUACCAUUUAAUUCAUUGUGAUGUUUUGUUUCAGAUGGAAGUGUAUGUCAAAACUACUUGGCUGAGCACUAGUAAUUGGAUCAAAUUACAUUCAAACGUAUUGCUAGAAAUAGUAAUUGUUGGGCUGCUUCAGACUCAAUAAUAAAAAUAAAGUACAGUUGUCUCUAUUUUUCACUGCAGUAGCUCUCAACCUUUCCAAACUUUCAGGAAUCUGAUUUGUCUUGCAUAGUCCAACUUUUGCCUCAUUUAAACAUAAAUUUGCUUAAAAAAAUCAGACAUAAAAAAUACAAAUGUCACAGCACAUUAUUACUGAAAAAUUGCUUUCUCUGUAUGAAAUUUUAGUUUGUACUGAUUUUGCCACUGCUUUUAUGUAUCCUAUUGUAAAACCAAGCAAAUAUCUAAAUGAGUUGUUGUGCCUCCUGGAAGAUCUCUGUAUACUGUGUACUAGGGAUUUGUGCAUUGUCCCAGGGAACCACCAGCCACUUCGCGUAUAAUUGUCAAAAUGCUCAGCGAUUACACGGUUACUUAAUUAAAUGCAUUUUAACAUCCCUA